CUUAUAGUUCCUGGGAUCAAUUAACUCAAGUUGUUUGGGAAGAUAAUCAGUAAUUUCAAAUGGCAGUGUGGGAAUGUCCAGACAUACAUGGGAACUGAUGCAAUUGCCACCCUCGGUGCAAACACUUCCAUGAUUUCUGUGCUCAGCAGGUGUAGAGUUUGGUAUUUGAGAAGAUAAAACAGUGGCUGCACUUAACUGCUUCACUUGGAAGUGAAGAUAGUGAUAGAUACCUACUGCUCAUUUGUUACAAGCAGAAAGGAAAGCAUUUAGACAUUAAUUUUUUGCUAGCUGCACAAAUUAUAUAAGUCAUAUAAAGCUGCAAAAAAUAGUUUGCAGGCUCAAUAAUGUCUUUGUGUUCCAGAAAAAAGAGGCAAACUGGUAUCAGCGUUAAGAGUGUUUUCUUUGUUCUCUCCCACCUUCAAACUAUUGGACUGUGUCUUUACAGGGCAUCGACUGACAGAUGUUCCUGGUUUGAAAAGGAAGAAUUAAAUGAGUGUGAAAAAACCUGGCUCUUGCUACUGAAAGACAUCAGUCAAGAUUCAGAGUGCACAAACUGCGACACAGUGCCCAGCUUUCCAGAGUUCUUGGAAAAGAAACAACAGGAAAAGACUCCAGAACACCAGGAAGUCUUUACAGUCGGAACAAAAGACUUUCAGUGGGUAUCAUUCCCAUCUUUUCACCAAGAAAAAUGUCUGAACCCCAAGGAUCUGAGCUCCCAGCAGCCAGCACAGAGCCAGAGCAAUGAAUUACAUAAAGGACAGGGCCAAGCAGAUAAACUGAAGAGUUUAUCAUCCACAGCUGAGAAAACCUGCAGGGGAACCAGUACAGAUCAAGCCAAAACUGCAUCUGGAGCAGACACAAAAGGUGUUUCAGAGCUGGAUGUGAGUCCCAAGUCAUGGAAACUCCCUGGGCACAGCAGCUCAGCACAGCCCUCGGCAUUAGUACAAAGCCCUGCAGAAGCUCCUGGCCCUCAGCAGCACCACACAGGGACUGUACAGAACAGCAGGGCAGACAGGAGAGAAAAGGGUGAGGAAAAGCCUCAAAUCCAAAUACACCAGGGCGAGCUUCCAGCAGGGGAGGCCACGGGGGUGCCUGCAGAGAAGCCUCGGCUCGGGAGCACUCCUGGGGCUGAGAGCCACGAGGAGAAGGAGGAAAACCAGAGUGAAGCAGCUUCAGCUCUUGACAGUUGUCCAAUGUGUCUGAUGCAGUUUAGUGGAAGACUCUCCCAGCUGGACAUCGAUGGGCACCUUGCCAGGUGCUUGUCUGAAAGUGCAGAUGAUGUCAUGUGGUAAAUCCAGAGGAGUGGAGAGCACAGGAACCAGGCCAAGGAUGAAGCUUUCUCAAAGGAAAAGGAAAAAUGUGUCAAGGAAGCACAUCCUUGUCUCUGACUUAAACCAGUAACUCAACAGAAGGAUAAGUGCCACCUGCCUAUUUGGUUUUGGGUUUUUUUCUUUUAAAGCCUCUCAAAUGCAUGUGAAGUAGUUCCAGUUCUGAAAACAGUGCUCUGGGAUAUCCCAGAGACCCCCAGAGAAAUGAGGCUUGGUACUCCUGAAGAAAUGCACUAUUGGAAAUCCCUCAAGCUUUGUCUGAUGCACCAGAGUUCUGAAUCUCUCAGGACAGAAGAAAGCAGCUGAGCAAAACAGAACUGUUAUUUGCUGUAAUCCAAAAAUUUACUGUUUUUUUUUUUCAAAACAGGUAAUCUAUGAAAAUAAACUCAGUUAAAAAGUAAUC
Long non-coding RNA from Serinus canaria (Common canary), 1731 nucleotides. NCBI's taxonomy places the organism in Eukaryota, Metazoa, Chordata, Aves, Passeriformes, Fringillidae. The record is from Ensembl.